GUGGAGAUGAUGACAGAGAGCAGUGGACUCACAGGUUAACAUGAUGAACUGUAGGACAGGACUCCUGUUUGUAACUCUCUGCUUGGCAGGUGUUAAAGGUCAGACUCUGACAGAAUCUGAACCAGCAGUUAAACGACCUGGAGAUUCUCACAGAUUGACCUGCACGACCUCUGGAUUCUCACUCAGCAGCUACUGGAUGCACUGGAUCAGACAGGCUCCUGGAAAAGGACUGGAGUGGAUCGCUGCUGAUGGUGGUGGUGGUAGCAAAUACUACUCUCAGUCAGUUCAAGGCCGGUUUACCAUCUCCAGAGACAACAGCAAAGAGCAGGUGUAUCUGCAGAUGAGCAGCCUGAAGACUGAAGAUUCUGCUGUUUAUUAUUGUGCUCGAGACUCACAGUGA
Non-coding RNA from Archocentrus centrarchus (flier cichlid), 400 nucleotides. NCBI's taxonomy places the organism in Eukaryota, Metazoa, Chordata, Actinopteri, Cichliformes, Cichlidae. The record is from the annotation of a RefSeq genome assembly.